ACGCGCAGCAUUCUGUAGCAAUACAGGGUGUGGGCGCGUGGCGAACGGGUGCGUAACACGUGGAUAACCUUCCUUCAGGUGGGGAAUAACCCAGUGAAAAUUGGGCUAAUACCGCAUAACAUGACGAUGCCACAUGGUGUUGUCUUCAAAGCCGCAAGGCGCCAGAAGAGGGAUCCGCGGCCGAUUAGCUUGUUGGCGAGGUAAUGGCUCACCAAGGCUUUGAUCGGUAGCCGGACUGAGAGGUUGGCCGGCCACACUGGAACUGAGACACGGUCCAGACUCCUACGGGAGGCAGCAGUGGGGAAUCUUGCACAAUGGACGAAAGUCUGGUGCAGCAACGCCGCGUGGGGGAUGAAGCUUCUCGGAGUGUAAACCCCUUUCGACCCGGAAGAAUGCCCGCAAGGGUUUGACGGUACGGGUAUAAGAAGCCCCGGCUAACUACGUGCCAGCAGCCGCGGUAAUACGUAGGGGGCCAGCGUUGCUCGGAAUUACUGGGCGUAAAGGGUCUGUAGGCGGUGCGGCAAGUCGAUAGUGAAAUCCCUAGGCUUAACCUAGGGGCUGCUAGC
RNAcentral lists this ribosomal RNA (566 nucleotides) under uncultured bacterium. RNAcentral describes it as "bacterial SSU rRNA". It matches the Rfam family "Bacterial small subunit ribosomal RNA", at positions 62 to 628 of the family's 1533-position model. The record is from RNAcentral.